RNAcentral lists this ribosomal RNA (468 nucleotides) under uncultured bacterium. RNAcentral's name for it is "partial 16S ribosomal RNA". It matches the Rfam family "Bacterial small subunit ribosomal RNA", at positions 28 to 507 of the family's 1533-position model. The record is from RNAcentral.
GACGAACGCUGGCGGCGUGCUUAACACAUGCAAGUCGAACGGAAAGUCCCUGCUUUUGUGGGGUGCUCGAGUGGCGAACGGGUGAGUAACACGUGGGUAACCUGCCCUUGACUUUGGGAUAACUUCAGGAAACUGGGGCUAAUACCGGAUAGGAGCUCCUGCUGCAUGGCGGGGGUUGGAAAGUUUCGGCGGUUGGGGAUGGACUCGCGGCUUAGCAGCUUGUUGGUGAGGUAGUGGCUUUCCAAGGCUUUGAAGGUUAGCCGGCCUGAGAGGGUGACCGGCCACAGUGGGAUUGGGAAACGGCCCGGAGUGCUACGGGAGGCAGCAGUGGGGAACAUUGCACGAUGGGCGGAAGCCGGAUGCAGCAACGCCGCGUGCGGGAUGACGGCCGUUGGGUUGGAAACCGCUUUCGCCGGUGACGAAGCGUGAGUGACGGUAAUGGGUAAAGAAGCACCGGCUAACUACGUG